ACUUAUUUAAUAUAAAAAGUAUAUUAAGCUUCCAACUUAAAUGUUUCAUUUGAAAAUAAGUA
RNAcentral lists this transfer RNA (62 nucleotides) under Kusala populi. RNAcentral describes it as "tRNA-Gly". The record is from RNAcentral. Lineage: Eukaryota; Metazoa; Arthropoda; Insecta; Hemiptera; Cicadellidae.